This 497-nucleotide ribosomal RNA is filed under the name uncultured bacterium. Its description in RNAcentral is "partial 16S ribosomal RNA". It matches the Rfam family "Bacterial small subunit ribosomal RNA", at positions 28 to 507 of the family's 1533-position model. The record is from RNAcentral.
GAUGAACGCUGGCGGCGUGCCUAAUACAUGCAAGUAGAACGCUGAAGGAAGGAGCUUGCUCUUUCCGGAUGAGUUGCGAACGGGUGAGUAACGCGUAGGUAACCUGCCUGGUAGCGGGGGAUAACUAUUGGAAACGAUAGCUAAUACCGCAUAACAGUAGAUGUUGCAUGAUAUCUACUUAAAAGGUGCAAUUGCACCACUACCAGAUGGACCUGCGUUGUAUUAGCUAGUUGGUGAGGUAACGGCUCACCAAGGCGACGAUACAUAGCCGACCUGAGAGGGUGAUCGGCCACACUGGGACUGAGACACGGCCCAGACUCCUACGGGAGGCAGCAGUAGGGAAUCUUCGGCAAUGGACGGAAGUCUGGCCGAGCAACGCCGCGUGAGUGAAGAAGGUUUUCGGAUCGUAAAGCUCUGUUGUAAGAGAAGAACGAGUGUGAGAGUGGAAAGUUCACACUGUGACGGUAGCUUACCAGAAAGGGACGGCUAACUACGUG